UGGCUCUCGCAUCGAUGAAGAACGCAGCGAAAUGCGAUAAGUAAUGUGAAUUGCAGAAUUCAGUGAAUCAUCGAAUCUUUGAACGCACCUUGCGCUCCUUGGUAUUCCGAGGAGCAUGCCUGUUUGAGUGUCAUGAAAUCAUCACAAAAGCCUUCCUUUUCGGAGGAGGUUUGAGUGGACUUGGGGGUUUGUGCCGCUGCAUCUUUGCUUUGGCUCCCCUUCAAAUGCAUUAGCUGGCUGAGGGCAAAGUUGGCUCUACAAGGUGUGAUAAUUGUCUACGCCUGUUGUCGACGUGCUUUCUGGCUGCUACCAAUCGUCUUCGGACAAAUUUCUUAUGCUCUGGCCUCAAAUCAGGUAGGACUACCCGCUGA
This 371-nucleotide unclassified non-coding RNA is filed under the name uncultured fungus. RNAcentral's name for it is "partial contains 5.8S ribosomal RNA and internal transcribed spacer 2". The stretch from base 1 to 133 matches the Rfam family "5.8S ribosomal RNA", at positions 22 to 154 of the family's 154-position model. Lineage: Eukaryota; Fungi. The record is from RNAcentral.